UACGUAGGGGGCAAGCGUUGUCCGGAAUCAUUGGGCGUAAAGCGCGCGUAGGCGGCCCUGUAAGUCCGCUGUAAAAGUCAAAGGCUCAACCUUUGAAAGCCGGUGGAUACUGCAGGGCUAGAGUCCGGAAGAGGCGAGUGGAAUUCCUGGUGUAGCGGUGAAAUGCGCAGAUAUCGGGAAGAACACCCGUGGCGAAGGCGGCUCUCUGGGACGGUACUGACGCUGAGACGCGAAAGCGUGGGGAGCGAACAGG
Molecule: ribosomal RNA, 253 nt
Filed under: uncultured bacterium
Lineage: Bacteria
Description: partial 16S ribosomal RNA
Rfam family: Bacterial small subunit ribosomal RNA
Source: RNAcentral